AUUGAACGCUGGCGGCAUGCCUUACACAUGCAAGUCGAACGGCAGCACGGGUGCUUGCACCUGGUGGCGAGUGGCGAACGGGUGAGUAAUACAUCGGAACGUACCUUAUCGUGGGGGAUAACGCAGCGAAAGCUGUGCUAAUACCGCAUACGCCCUGAGGGGGAAAGCGGGGGAUCGAAAGACCUCGCGCGAUUAGAGCGGCCGAUGCCUGAUUAGCUUGUUGGUGGGGUAAAAGCCCACCAAGGCGACGAUCAGUAGCCGGUCUGAGAGGACGAUCAGCCACACUGGGACUGAGACACGGCCCAGACUCCUACGGGAGGCAGCAGUGGGGAAUUUUGGACAAUGGGGGCAACCCUGAUCCAGCAAUGCCGCGUGAGUGAAGAAGGCCCUCGGGUUGUAAAGCUCUUUCGUCAGGGAAGAAACACCGGCUCUAACACAGUCCGGGAAUGACGGUACCUGAAGAAUAAGCACCGGCUAACUACGUGCCAGCAGCCGCGGUAA
Molecule: ribosomal RNA, 501 nt
Filed under: uncultured bacterium
Lineage: Bacteria
Description: partial 16S ribosomal RNA
Rfam family: Bacterial small subunit ribosomal RNA
Source: RNAcentral